RNAcentral lists this ribosomal RNA (60 nucleotides) under Colletotrichum gloeosporioides. RNAcentral's name for it is "partial 28S ribosomal RNA". The record is from RNAcentral. Lineage: Eukaryota; Fungi; Ascomycota; Sordariomycetes; Glomerellales; Glomerellaceae. RNAcentral also lists the same sequence under 4 other names.
UUGACCUCGGAUCAGGUAGGAAUACCCGCUGAACUUAAGCAUAUCAAUAAGCGGGAGGAA